This 442-nucleotide ribosomal RNA is filed under the name uncultured bacterium. RNAcentral's name for it is "partial 16S ribosomal RNA". It matches the Rfam family "Bacterial small subunit ribosomal RNA", at positions 338 to 795 of the family's 1533-position model. The record is from RNAcentral.
CCUACGGGCGGCAGCAGUGGGGAAUAUUGGGCAAUGGAGGCAACUCUGACCCAGCAAUGCCGCGUGAGUGAUGAAGGUAAUUUUAUUGUAAAGCUCUUUUCUUUGGAACGAAUAAAUGACGGUACCAAAGGAAUAAGCCCCGGCUAACUACGUGCCAGCAGCCGCGGUAAUACGUAGGUGGCAAGCGUUGUUCGGAAUGACUGGGCGUAAAGGGUGUGUAGGGGGUUUGAUAAGUUAGAUGUGAAAUCCCAAGGCUUUAACUCGGGUGCGCAAUCUAAACCGGUUGGCUUUGGGACCUGAGAGGAAAGGGGAAUUCCCAGGGUAGCGGUGAGAAGCGUAGAUAUUAGGAGGAACAUCAGUGGCGAAGGCGACUAUCUGGACAGCAACUGACACUGAGGCACGAAAGCGUGGGGAGCAAACAGGAUUAGAUACCCUUGUAGUC